RNAcentral lists this ribosomal RNA (200 nucleotides) under uncultured bacterium. Its description in RNAcentral is "partial 16S ribosomal RNA". It matches the Rfam family "Bacterial small subunit ribosomal RNA", at positions 328 to 539 of the family's 1533-position model. The record is from RNAcentral.
ACGCUCGACACCUACGAGAGGCAGCAGUCGGGAAUAUUGCGCAAUGGAGGAAACUCUGACGCAGUGACGCCGCGUAUAGGAAGAAGGUUUUCGGAUUGUAAACUAUUGUCGUUAGGGAAGAAAAAGGACAGUACCUAAGGAGGAAGCUCCGGCUAACUACGUGCAGCAGCCGGCGGUAAUCUGAGGCGGGCUGGCAAGGC